GGGAAUAUAGCUCAGUGGUAGAGCAUUUGCCUAGCAUGCAAAGUCCUAUGUUCA
Molecule: transfer RNA, 54 nt
Filed under: Rattus norvegicus (Norway rat)
Lineage: Eukaryota; Metazoa; Chordata; Mammalia; Rodentia; Muridae
Rfam family: tRNA
About the family: Transfer RNA (tRNA) molecules are approximately 80 nucleotides in length. Their secondary structure includes four short double-helical elements and three loops (D, anti-codon, and T loops).
Source: Rfam by way of RNAcentral